This 1482-nucleotide ribosomal RNA is filed under the name uncultured Bordetella sp. RNAcentral describes it as "partial 16S-23S ribosomal RNA intergenic spacer". It matches the Rfam family "Bacterial small subunit ribosomal RNA". The record is from RNAcentral. Lineage: Bacteria; Pseudomonadati; Pseudomonadota; Betaproteobacteria; Burkholderiales; Alcaligenaceae.
AGUUCGAUCAUGGCUCAGAUUGAACGCUGGCGGGAUGCUACACAUGCAAGUCGAACGGCAGCACGGACUUCGGUCUGGUGGCGAGUGGCGAACGGGUGAGUAAUGUAUCAGGACGUGCCCUAGUAGCGGGGGAUAACUACGCGAAAGCGUAGCUAAUACGCGCCGGCGCCCUUCCCAGGAAAGCGGGGGACCUUCGGGCCUCGCACUAUUAGAAACGGCCGAUAUCGGAUUAGCUAGUUGGUGGGGUAACGGCUCACCAAGGCGACGAUCCGUAGCUGGUUUGAGAGGACGACCAGCCACACUGGGACUGAGACACAGCCCAGACUCCUACGAGGAGGCAGCAGUGGGGAAUUUUGGACAAUGGAAACCCUGAUCCAGCCAUCCCGCGUGUGCGAUGAAGGCCUUCGGGUUGUAAAGCACUUUUGGCAGGAAAGAAACGGCACGGGAUAAUACCCCGUGCAACUGACGGUACCUGCAGAAUAAACACCGGCUAACUACGUGCCAGCAGCCGCGGUAAUACGUAGAGAUUGCAAGCGUUAAUCGGAAUUACUGGGCGUAAAGCGUGCGCAGGCGGUUCGGAAAGAAGAUGUGAAAUCCCAGGCUUAACUUUGGAACUGCAUUUUUAACUACCGGCUAAGAGUGUGUCGGAGGAGGUGGAAUUCCGCGAUGUAGCAGUGAAAUGCGUAGAUAUGCCGGAGGAGGAACACCGAUGGCGAAGGCAGCCUCCUGGGAUAUGACGCUCAUGCACGAAAGCGUAGAGGAGCAAACAGGAUUAGAUACCCUGGUAGUCCACGCCCUAAACGAUGUCAACUAGCUGUUGGGGCCUUCGGGCCUUGGUAGCGCAGCUAACGCGUGAAGUUGACCGCCUGGGGAGUACGGUCGCAAGAUUAAAGCUCCAAAGGAAUUGACGGGGACCCGCACAAGCGGUGGAUGAUGUGGAUUAAUUCGAUGCAACGCGAAAAACCUUACCUACCCUUGACAUGUCUGGAAUCCCGAAGAGAUUUGGGAGUGCUCGCAAGAGAACCGGAACACAGGUGCUGCAUGGCUGUCGUCAGCUCGUGUCGUGAGAUGUUGGGUUAAGUCCGCAACGAGCGCAACCCUUAUCGUGGAUUGCUACGAAGGGCACUCUAAUGAGACUGCCGGUGACAAACCGGAGGAAGGUGGGGAUGACGUCAAGUCCUCAUAGCCCUUAUGGGUAAGGAUUCACACGUCCUUAAUGGUCGGGACAGAGGGUCGCCAACCGCGAAGGGGAGCCAAUCCCAGAAACCCGAUCGUGGUCGGAUCGCAGUCUGCGCUCGACUGCGUGAAGUCGGAAUCGCUAAUCGCGGAUCAGCAUGUCGCGGUGAAUACGUUCCCGGGUCUUGUACACACCGCCCGUCACACCAUGGGAGUGGGUUUUACCAGAAGUAGUUAGCCUAACCGUAAAGGAGGGCGAUUACCACGGUAGGAUUCAUGACUGAGGUGAAGUCGUAACUAAGGCAG